Long non-coding RNA from Octopus sinensis (East Asian common octopus), 220 nucleotides. RefSeq lists it as uncharacterized. The transcript has 3 exons. NCBI's taxonomy places the organism in Eukaryota, Metazoa, Mollusca, Cephalopoda, Octopoda, Octopodidae. The record is from RefSeq and is a predicted model, not a curated record.
AAGUGAUAGGAAGUGUAAAAACUGUGGUACUAAGCACAAAUUUGCUAUAACAAUAUUUCUGCUUCAACAACUCAAUGCUGAAUCUGAAAUGAAUUGGAAAAAAUAGAUCAGUUUCAAAACAUUGAUGUCCAGUUCACAAAAGCAAAGUUUAAAGGGAAUAGUAGUCAUUUCCUUUGAUUUCUAGAUUGAACCAAAUAGGAAAUAGCACUUACGAACCAAA